This 73-nucleotide small nucleolar RNA is filed under the name Trypanosoma vivax Y486. Its description in RNAcentral is "Trypanosomatid snoRNA TB10cs1H3". It matches the Rfam family "Trypanosomatid snoRNA TB10cs1H3". Lineage: Eukaryota; Euglenozoa; Kinetoplastea; Trypanosomatida; Trypanosomatidae. The record is from Rfam by way of RNAcentral.
CUCGCACGCAGGAACGUGGCAGGCCAAUGAGUGCGCACUCGUCUCUCAUGUGGUUCAACAACAUGGUCCGAGA